AUAAAGAUGUUUAUGUAGCUGUUGCAAAAGACUUACAGAAAUUCACUGUAGCAGAGAAUCAAAGUGCUGAACAAAGGAUAAAAGAACUAGCAACAGUGAAGCCAGCUGAAGAACUGCAGUGAGAAUCUGGGGCUGUUCUCUGUCCCGUUGUGGUUGCAGAGAGUUGUAUGCCAGGGCCGGCAUGUCCCAGCAAGGAGCAUCGAGCACGUCACAGCACCAUUCUGGGAGGAGCUGUAAAGGUGCAGGCUGACACUGUGCUUGUGGAAGUGGAAGUCACAGAAUUCAGGUGCCGAAGAGCUGGUGUCUCCCUGAAUCUCGACAUUAUCUGACCUCAGAUGAAUCUUGAAAUGGUAUCCCUAGGAGCACAAAUGGCAUUCAGAUGCUUCAGCUGAGAAAUUUUUCACACCUUUGGAAAACUUUGCAUCAGAAGAAGAAAGGAUAACUUGUUCUCCAAACUUUACAAGAGUUCCAAACCAAGAUUUUCACGAAACAAGGCAGUGGAAGGAGUGCCUCCUUGAAGAAAAGCAAACUAACAGGAGAGAGGCACAGGAAAACAGAUGAAGACAUUAAGCAACUCUAGAGAGGGCAUAUGUAAAUGUAUUUAUGUCU
Molecule: long non-coding RNA, 609 nt
Filed under: Gallus gallus (chicken)
Lineage: Eukaryota; Metazoa; Chordata; Aves; Galliformes; Phasianidae
Description: long non-coding RNA NONGGAT004333
Source: RNAcentral